RNAcentral lists this unclassified non-coding RNA (306 nucleotides) under plant metagenome. RNAcentral's name for it is "partial contains 5.8S ribosomal RNA, internal transcribed spacer 2, and large subunit ribosomal RNA". The stretch from base 1 to 105 matches the Rfam family "5.8S ribosomal RNA", at positions 50 to 154 of the family's 154-position model. The record is from RNAcentral.
GAAAUGCGAUAAGUAAUGUGAAUUGCAGAAUUCAGUGAAUCAUCUAAUCUUUGAACGCACAUUGCGCCCGCCAGUAUUCUGGCGGGCAUGCCUGUCCGAGCGUCAUUUCAACCAUCAAGCCCCCGGGCUUGUGUUGGGGACCUGCGGCUGCCCGCAGGCCCUGAAAACCAGUGGCGGGCUCGCUGUCACACCGAGCGUAGUAGCAAUCACCUCGCUCAGGGCGUGCUGCGGGUUCCGGCCGUUAAACAGCCUUACAAAACCCAAGGUUGACCUCGGAUCAGGUAGGAAGACCCGCUGAACUUAAGC